UGGGGAAUAUUGCACAAUGGGCGCAAGCCUGAUGCAGCCAUGCCGCGUGUAUGAAGAAGGCCUUCGGGUUGUAAAGUACUUUCAGUCGGGAGGAAGGUGGUAAGGUUAAUAACCUUGGCAAUUGACGUUACCGACAGAAGAAGCACCGGCUAACUCCGUGCCAGCAGCCGCGGUAAUACGGAGGGUGCAAGCGUUAAUCGGAAUUACUGGGCGUAAAGCGUACGCAGGCGGUUGAUUGAGUCAGAUGUGAAAUCCCCGGGCUUAACCCGGGAAUUGCAUCUGAUACUGGUCAGCUAGAGUCUUGUAGAGGGGGGUAGAAUUCCAUGUGUAGCGGUGAAAUGCGUAGAGAUGUGGAGGAAUACCGGUGGCGAAGGCGGCCCCCUGGACAAAGACUGACGCUCAGGUGCGAAAGCGUGGGGAGCAAACAGG
This 429-nucleotide ribosomal RNA is filed under the name Chloroflexota bacterium. RNAcentral describes it as "Chloroflexi bacterium partial 16S ribosomal RNA". It matches the Rfam family "Bacterial small subunit ribosomal RNA", at positions 355 to 776 of the family's 1533-position model. Lineage: Bacteria; Bacillati; Chloroflexota. The record is from RNAcentral.